Molecule: ribosomal RNA, 497 nt
Filed under: uncultured bacterium
Lineage: Bacteria
Description: partial 16S ribosomal RNA
Rfam family: Bacterial small subunit ribosomal RNA
Source: RNAcentral
GAUGAACGCUGGCGGCGUGCCUAAUACAUGCAAGUCGAGCGAACGGACGAGAAGCUUGCUUUUCUGAUGUUAGCGGCGGACGGGUGAGUAACACGUGGAUAACCUACCUAUAAGACUGGGAUAACUUCGGGAAACCGGAGCUAAUACCGGAUAAUAUUUUGAACCGCAUGGUUCAAAAGUGAAAGACGGUCUUGCUGUCACUUAUAGCUGGAUCCGCGCUGCAUUAGCUAGUUGGUAAGGUAACGGCUUACCAAGGCAACGAUGCGUAGCCGACCUGAGAGGGUGAUCGGCCACACUGGAACUGAGACACGGUCCAGACUCCUACGGGAGGCAGCAGUGGGGAAUCUUGCACAAUGGGCGAAAGCCUGACGGAGCAACGCCGCGUGAGUGAUGAAGGUCUUCGGAUCGUAAAGCUCUGUUGUUAGGGAAGAACAGAUGUGUAAGUAACUGUGCAUGUCUUGACGGUACCUAAUGAGAAAGCCACGGCUAACUACGUG